UGCUCCGACAGAACCAGCGUGGCGUCGUCGUUGUCCAGAUACCCGCCGGCCGCCGCAACGUACCGGUAGUAGUUAAUCGGCUGAUCGUGCCCGUCGAUCAGCACGAGCACGUCGUCCCGCGUAUCGGU
This 128-nucleotide ribosomal RNA is filed under the name uncultured eukaryote. RNAcentral describes it as "partial small subunit ribosomal RNA". The record is from RNAcentral.